This 491-nucleotide ribosomal RNA is filed under the name uncultured bacterium. RNAcentral describes it as "partial 16S ribosomal RNA". It matches the Rfam family "Bacterial small subunit ribosomal RNA", at positions 28 to 507 of the family's 1533-position model. The record is from RNAcentral.
GAUGAACGCUGGCUACAGGCUUAACACAUGCAAGUCGAGGGGAAACGACGGGGAAGCUUGCUUCCCCGGGCGUCGACCGGCGCACGGGUGAGUAACGCGUAUCCAACCUGCCUCUGACUGAGGGAUAACCCGUCGAAAGUCGGCCUAAUACCUCAUGGCAUCGUCUGCGGGCAUCCAACGACGAUUAAAGAUUUCAUCGGUCAGGGAUGGGGAUGCGUCUGAUUAGCUUGUUGGCGGGGUAACGGCCCACCAAGGCUACGAUCAGUAGGGGUUCUGAGAGGAAGGUCCCCCACAUUGGAACUGAGACACGGUCCAAACUCCUACGGGAGGCAGCAGUGAGGGAUAUUGGUCAAGGGGCGGGAGCCUGAACCAGCCAAGUAGCGUGCAGGAUGACGGCCCUAUGGGUUGUAAACUGCUUUUAUGCGGGGAUAAAGUGAGGGACGUGUCCUUCAUUGCAGGUACCGCAUGAAUAAGAACCGGCUAAUUCCGUG